AGCAGUGUCGUGGUAACGUAGGGGUGGAGCUCCACUCUACCUCGAAGACGCUAGCAAGCUCCACCAUUUGAAGCACGCCAGCCACCGCCCGCCGCUCGUUGGUAUCACUGAGAAGCAGCAGCAGGCAAGAGCUAUAUAGAAGAAAACACAUCUGGAAGGAGGGGGAAGAAGUGAUUCAUGAUUCUUUUGCUGGAUAAGAAGCAAUUCAUGGUGCUUUUGCUGGAGACGGCAGGGUGCCGGUGAGCUGGUCACCAGUGGAGCUCCUCUACAAAGGGGAUGGUGAGGGGUGUACUGCUCCCGUAUGGAACGCGAGGGGCCAGAGCUCCUCGCCUAUGAAAAGGAUGGGUAGAAUAAGAGGUGGCUAUUGGAUGAUCUCGCUGAAUAGAGGCAGAGGUAGCCAUGGUCACCAGCAGAGCUUUAGCGCAAGGGAUCAGGGGGGCGGGAGGAAGAUGGCGAGGCAGUCGAAGAGGCAGCGCUCGAUUCUUCAAGCGGCGGCAAUACCGGGGAGGCGGGGAAGCGAUAACAGCCGCAGAUGGGGUAAUCGGAUAUGAGUAGC
This 556-nucleotide long non-coding RNA is filed under the name Setaria italica (foxtail millet). RNAcentral's name for it is "long non-coding RNA (SITA_LNC000742)". The record is from RNAcentral. Lineage: Eukaryota; Viridiplantae; Streptophyta; Magnoliopsida; Poales; Poaceae.